CCAGAAGAGUCACUGGUAAGGAGCAUAAAGAGUUGUGUCUGGAAGAUCCCAGGAUGACCCAGGUAAUCUGCCCGUAGCAAAGGAUGCAUCUUGCAAUGCCCAAGCAGUCAUGAUUUUGUCAGGGAAGUUUCUAGGCAUGAAGACUCACGUUGUUGACACAGGGCUUCUUUCAGGAGCUUGUACUUCUCAUUUAAUAGUAGGUGACUACUACUAUGGUAGCUGGUCAUUUAGUAAUCCAGUUUUAAAAUGGAUUGUUUCUUUGUGAUCUUAAGUUCUGUUAGAUUAGUCAACUCUUAGAUUGACUUUAUGGAAAUAAGUAAGAUUUAAUUGGAUUCCAGAGAACUGAAGACUAUGAAUAUGGGAGUGAUAUUGUUAGAAGUUUUAUAGUUAUUUGAAAGCUGUGAUUUAGAAUCAUUAGUUUGAGCACUACAGAGAAAAACAGUUGACAUAGUAUAGGAUAGAAGUACACAGAGGAAAACCUGGUUACUUUUAAGAGAUAAACGAAGAUUAAUCUUAUGGCAAAAGUGCCUACAGCAGACCCAUAAAGGACCAGAUGAGCAAGACAGAUUGCCAUAAUUGGAUACAAACUAGUCAAGAUCUGUCUGAGCUUGGGGCUUACCUUUGUAGACAAAAAUGGUUUCUUAUGAGUGGAACUUUUUAAUGACUCAUUGGGCAUGGAGAUUUACAGAUGUUUGUGUUUUUAGAGCAUUUAUUUAUUCCAGUUUGGUCCAUUAACAUUCAUUUUUCUUGAUUGGUUUUAAGAACAAUUUUAGUUUCUGUCAUUUACAGAGCUAUUUCUUUGAUGAUUUGAUGUUCCUUCUUAUUUGGGUUUUUAAAGUCUUUUUCUAUGUGGUUCUUUAGUCACUUUAUAGGUUUUUAGCUGACUUCUUUAAUUCAACUUCUGAUGUGAUGUGAUAUUUCCAGAAUACCUUCACGGAUCAUGGGACCUUUGAAUCUCAAGGUUGGGAAGGUCUGUAAUCUCUAAUCAAACUGUCAGUUUGAUGUUUGAAGCCUCUGUAUGAUUUUCUGCUUCAGGCAUAUGUGAUAGAUUUUUGAUAGUUAUAUUUUACCAAAAAGCAGGAUUUUGAGACUUUGUGGCUAUUCUAUCAUCCUAACAGCAGUCACUUGCACAUAACCAAGUGGUCAGAUCUUAGAAUAACUGAAGGCCAACCAGUUAUCUGAUGCUGAACUGUUAACAAGCUCUUCAGUAACCCCUGCUGCAGGGUACUCUGACCUUUAGCUUUACACUUGCUAGAAGGUAGAAACACAGAUGGGUGAAUUUAGGGCCCAGAUUAUAGCAUGCUCAUGUUCCUAGAGGUUCCUCCCUGAUCUUAAUUUUUUCAAGGACCAGGGAAUGUUGGAGGUUGAUAGUUAUGGGGAAACCUCUUGGCUUUCAAAAGCAGUCUUAGAUCCAGGAGCGCCUGUUUGUAAGUGCUGGGAGGAGUUUUCUAUCAGUGUUCUUAAUGAUAGUUCUUAAUAUCUUUUGCACUUACAGUUUGAAUAGGGAAUUUGUGUGACUUAGGUUUGACCCAGAAAAGCCAAGUAAUGGCUUCUAAUAGGCUUUACUGAGUGUUGUUGACGUUACAGUUAGUUCCCUAAGCCCUAGGGCUUAGGAGACUCAUCAUUUUGCUAGCAUGUGUAUCCUUCUCUAGUGAGUAGAUUCAUGUAAAACAGUACUGUAAGACACAUGUGUCAACCCAGAAACUAAUUUAUGAAAGAUUUAAUUUACAUGAAGACUGGAAAAAAUUUUGUGGCUUAAUAGCAUGGAGAGAUCAUUCCAUAUGCAACAUCUACGUGGAAUAUGCUGACCAUGGGAUCUCAACUACUGGCUUCAUGUCCCUGCUGUAGAAUUUGAUGGCUGUGUGACUUAGGCAUAUUACCAAGUGUAUUUCUCCUCCUCCUCCUCCUUCUCCUUCUCCUCCUCUUCUCCUCCUCCUCUCCCUCCUUCUCCUUCUUCUCCUCCUCCUCCUCCUUUUCCCCCUCCCCCUCCUCCUCUUCCUCCUCCCCCUCCUCCCCUCCCCUUCCCCCUCCUUCUCCUCCUCCACCUCCUUCUUCUUCUUCUUGGCAUUGAACCCAGGCCCUGCCUACCUUAAGUAUGUACAAAUUUUUUACUUUGUUAUACCUCAAUAAAACUGAGAGAAAAGUUAAGAUGUAAGGAAUGCUUUCAUUUCUUAUCGCAUUACAUUUGAAAAUUGCUAUUAAUUUGUUUCUUUACCACAGUUGACUGCCCAUCUGUGUACUGGUUUAUUCCCUCUGGUUGUAUUUCCUUUACAACUUAGUUUUUACUUUUCUGACAUACGUUUUAGAAUAUGUACAACACAUGGUAAAGAUGUUUGAGAUGACUAUGGGAAUUCACUUUCUUUUAUACCUUAUGGGGAAGAUUUUCCUCACAGUAUACUGGAAACAGUACAUUAGCAAUGACUUAAAGCCUAAUUUUAGCUAGAAAUUUAAUUCUCUUUAACAGGAUAUUCAUUCCUACCUUACAUGGAAGGCAAUCAUGACAGCAGAUUGUACUCCUAGGAAGAAGAGGAGCUAGAAUUCGAACCCAGAUUUGAAUUCCUCUUCCUGAUUGUACCAGUUUACUUCUGUGACAUCGCCUGUGCAGCAUUCUUCAAGACUUGGAUACAGGGCAUUGCUUUUGGCAGACAGGUUUCUAAUAAAGUUUAAAGUAGAUAGAAUGACUUAAACAUUUUUGUUAGUUUUGAUACUGUAGCUCUUUAUAGCUGAUGUAGUUCCAAGGAAGUAGAGAAAGACUAAUCUGGAGAAAUAAGAGCCAAUAUUUUAUUUUUCCCAUAAUUAAAUAACAUUGAAAAUCAGCAAGGGAAAAUGUAUUAUGAAUCAAUUUAAUAAUUAUACAUUCUUCUGAUACUCUUACAUUUGCAUAUGCUAUUUUACUUAGCCAUAUAACUAGAAGAUUGAUGAAAAUUCAUGUCAUGUUUUUGUCUUUGUUAUUUUGAGACAUAGGCAUGCUAUGUAGUGCAGGCUCGCUUUGAACUUGCUUAUAUAGCACAGGCUAGGCAUGAACUCACAGCCGUCCUUCUGCCUUAGCCUCCCGAGUGCUGGGAUGACAGACAUGCCCCACUGUGCCUGGCUCAUGUCAUGUUCUUUGAUGGAAUUUCUUAUUGAAAUUAUUUUGAUAUGUUACUAUACAAUCUUCAUAAUUAUUUAUUCAUUGCUUAGUAUCCCAUUCUUGUAUUAAACUGUUUUCUAUUAUUGUCUAAUUUCUAAUUAUUUCUCAUAAUAGAUAGCACUGCACUGAACAUAUCAUGUGGAGCUGUUAUAAUGGAUUACUUCCUUGGACUAGCCAAUUUAUGUUCCUUUAAGUAUCAGCAGCCUUCACCAGUGCUGCCAGACUUUGCUUGCACUAGUUUUUCAGUGGGAGUAUUAUCCUGGCCCAGAACUCAUAUAUUCUGGUUAUUGGAAACAUACUGAGAAAGAGGUUGCAUUGUCUGCAUCUAAAUUUCCCAGUGUAUAGAUGACCAAAUAAGGUUUGGAGUGUUUCCCAAGAAAGACUCAAAGUAAUCAUGCACAAAAGACUAGACUUUAUUAACAUUUCCAAAACUUACUUAAAUAAGAAUUUUAUUCUCAUACCACCCAUUAGCAAACAUCUUUGGAAACGCUAGUCCAAAACUGCAAUGCAAAAUCAUUUUUAGGUAAAUGAUAUCAUGCAGAUCUGUUUUAACAUCAUGCUAUUCCAAUAGCAAGAGAUUUAGCCCUGUUCAUUCAUUUAUGAGAUAAUUACUGAGAGCGUACUACGUGCUAUGCAUUUUUCAACUAAUGGUGGGUAGCAAAGAACACAGUCAACAAGUUCCUGGCCCCAGAUGCACCAUAAAGUGGGAAAAAUAAAUGUCAUAUAUUCAGUUUAGCAGGAGAUUUUGUACAUAUUGUUUUUCAUCAAAUAGGUUCUCAUUUGAAGAAUAUUUAGGUACCUUCUAUAAACAAUCCUGCUUGCUGAUUUAAACAAAAAAUAGGCAUAUCAACUGGGGAGACAUUUAUAUAAUGAUAAUUACUGUGGUAGUGACUAUACACACUGAUGCAUAAAAGAAGGGAACCUAAUACAAGUUUUGGGGGUUCCUAAAUUUUUUUUUUAACUACAGGAGGUAUUUAUUUCACUUAAGAAUUCUUAGGCCACUACCAUAGAAGUGAAAAUAUAUUUAUUUCUUGGCAUAACUGCUGUGAAUAUCUUCAUUGACUAAAAUAAUACCUAAUUUUUAUUAAAAUACAUUUAUUCAUUUCUAGCCACAUCUACUAUGUUAUGAUUGGUGUAAUCUUAUGUUCCCUUUUAUAAGUCUCUUCCUAUGUGUUCCAUCAUAUAAGGGUGGAGUAAGAUUCUUAUAUUGGAUACUGAUGCAAUUAAAAAAUUAUGUAUAAUAUAACAAGACAAGUCAGGAAAUUGAUUAUGUAUAGUCUGUUGUACACGACUUCUUUGAGGCUGUAUUGAGAGACUGUCCAAAAGCUAUUUGAUCAUUCAUUCACUAGGAGACACUGCAAAGUAGAGUCUGAUCCUGUCAGUCUGCCCACGUAUCAUCAGGCAGUAAAGUUUUGACGCUUAUAAGAUGUGAUGAGACAUUAUGAAGCCCAUAAAAAUGCAACUGUGGAAAAUUAAAUAGUAAUUUUAAAUUUAAAAGUUUGUUUACCACUGAUUUAAGAGAAAGACAAGCUCAGAAAUCCUGUAUGUGGAUUGCAGGCAAGGCUUGUAUGUGUAAUUUGGAUGGUGAUGAUGAUGGAGGUAAAAGCUAUUAUUAGCUGGAUUGCAGAGCUGGCUUAACUCUGCCCUGUAAUUACCAUGUGCCACAUACAAGAAAGUCACUGAGAAGUCUACGAAGCCACGAUUAUUUUUUAUAGUGGAACUGAAGGAAGAAUGAAGUCAUUGGCAGCAUGUCUCCCUGUGAUCUUCCUAUCACCGUGUAAAUACGUAACUCAUGCAACAGCUGCCCUUAGCAUUUCCCCCUUUCCCUUAAACAGAUGAAUGUUUGUGAUUUAGCAUAAAGUUCAUGAACUAAGAAAAGCAAUUGGACACAGACGCCUGUGUCUUUCCACUCAAUGUAUCUUAUUACCUUUAACUGCCCGCUGAAACUAUGCUUUUACUUUUACCUUUCCGAUAUAAAUUGCUAUCACCAGGCUUAGCAAAUGAAACGGAUUACUUACGGCAACUGUAAGUAGUUAUACACUCCACGUCCUUGACAGAGCUUUCCCAUAGGACAGGUAAUGUCUUUCAAAAAUCCUAUUACAGGGUUUUAUUUGUAGGUACAAUGAACAGAAGGCUGAAAGCCCCCAUGUUUUAUUGCUACCCAGCUUCAUCAUGUCUGCUCUAUUGAAAACUGGCAAAAUUGAUACACAUCAGCUCUUUUAUUCUUUUGUUACUACUCUGUGCAAAUAGAAGCAUACUGAGGAAUUUAAUGAAGCAGUAGUCCUUCGAGAUUUGAAGGUUCUAAGUGUACAGCUAUUUUGUCUUCAACACUGGAGGUUUUUGUGUGAAACAAAUUGGCAGGAGCAAAAUAAAGUUCUCACAGUUAGCCCAGUGUCUGCCACACGUGUGCUGAAUCAUACCACUGUGUGGAAGACUGAUCUUGGAGACAGAUGAAUUCAGUGGUGAAUGUAGUGGCUUUUUGAGUGCACAGGAGUAGAUGGAGAAGGGAAAACUGUAGCAAAGCUGUGGAGCUAUGAGUCUAUUUUUGGAAAUGGUCUGUUUAUUCAGGAAAUAGAGACUGUGCUGUUUAAGAAAAAUACAGUUGAGGGUAGACUAUUCAACAAAUUACUCCACACUACCCCAAAACAUUUCUAGGAAUCUGUGCUGAAUGAGAAGCCACAUAUUAACUUGCUAUGGCCUUCAUCGUCAUAAUUGACUUUUCACUACUGGACUUUUCAAAGGCGUCAGCAAUGAAGCUUUGCUGUGAAGAUCUAAGCACAUGUGAUGGUAGCAUGCUUCUGCUUCAGGUUAUGUACAAUUCAUGGCUACCAGUUGAAUUCUUAUUGCUGACCUAUCAGAAAGCAUUUGUCAGUAGCCUUAUUACAAGGAUAAUUUCGAUUCUGCUUAAAAUUAGAAGCCUCCAUAUUUUAUUAUCAAUAAUGAAUAGCUGUAUACCUUCAAACUGAUGAAACCAAGGCAUAGAGGUAGUGGUAUAGUUGUGAACUGCACCCAAGUAAAGUUGGACAUAGGCUUGCUCCUUGCUGUUUGCAGUUUAACCCUGUCUGUAUACUACUUUUCUUCCUUUGCAUCAGCCACCCACAUUGCCAUUUUUGUUGUUAUUGUUGCUUUGAAUGUAGGAGGAAAUAGUUCUUUGGAUCACUUUGGGGGAAUAACAAGGGAGUUAUUAUCAAGUCAGAAAUUUCAAGUUGCAGUAAUAUAUACAACCAGAUGGUGCUUAGUUCAAAGUUAGUAGGUAUCUCACCAAUGACAUCUAUUUAAAAAUAUUAUAGGAGCUUAGUAAAUGUAGCCCUGCACUAAUUGUGUUAGAAGGAAGCUAUUUUCUUUAUUUCCAAAACCUGUUCCUAAAUGAAGCUAUAUAAUAUUUCAGUAUAUAAAGAAAUCUUGAUGGAAAGUGAGAAAUAACUGAUUAAAAAAAUUUAGUGUUCUGUUUGUUUACUACUUGACAUUUUUCAGUGGAAAAAUUCUUAUUUGGCAGUCAAUAUUCUCCAGAGCUAGCAAGAUUUUUUAGUGUGUUUUGGGGCAAACAACACAUUCUGUUUCAGACACUGCAGGAUCACUUUAGUGUUUGCCUCAGAAUACAAGCUGGAAAAGUUUAUGAGGUGAUUUCAACAGAUCUCAUAAAUGUUUUCUGGAUGGUGCCCCAUCUCUGUUUCUAUGGUAUCUUUUCAUGUCUCCGUUUUGUCAUUGUCUGCAAUAUCAUUGUAUUGGCUUAUGUCUCCCCCAGUAAGCAACAGCCCAGUGAGGGCAGGAACUAUUUUACCUGUCUUUGAAUCUCUAAUAUUUUGCACAGUGCUCCGUGCUUAUUUGAAGAAUUAAAGAAAUAUCUGAAAAUCAAACCGCUUUUUUGAGCACGUAUUUCAUAAUUUUGAAGCCAUGCUUACAAAAAUCUACUAUAUCAAGGGGAGAUGAAGAGUAUCAGGGAAUAAUUAUCUUACUAUAAGAAUCUUUUGGCAAACUUUGUUCGUCGUAAGAGAAAGUCCACAAACUGUAGGCACAGAGUAUCAAAAGGAGGACAGUUUUUACCCUUAGAUAUUCUUGAGUAUCUUCUGGCUCCUAGGGUUUUGAACCCUGUUUGCCUCCAUGUUUGAGACCUGGUCAAUUCUUUUUAUCUUAAGUCUGGAUUGUAGCUGUUGCCUGUCUGGUCUUUUUAUAUAUCCCUAGUCCUUCUUUCCCUGCCUAACCCUGUGAACUAGAUUCAGUCUGGAAGACAUUUUCCUAUGUAUUUGCUCCCUGGUCUUGGCUCACCUUCUCUGCCCUGUAGUUGCUGACGUCCUCCAGUGUCACGAGUAGCUGGUUAAAACGUACCAUUUAUAAAAAGUACAUAUAUAAAAAGUUAGGUUAAAACUUCUUACAGAUUUCUUUCCUAAAAACUAGAUAUCCCUACAAAGUAUCAGAUUCUCUACAGGGCCUUGGAUUUAGCUAUUAUGGCUCAUGGAUGUGGAGUCUAUUAUACAGUUGAACAGCACUAUGACCUCUAUAGUAGAAACUACAGAUGCUGCAAAAUUAGAUAUUUAAGAAAAGGAGAUAUGUAUGCUAUGCAAAAUGUAGGAAACAAUGUGAAGAUGUUAAACCAUUGUUCCUGUUUAAGGAUAUGAAUAUAAUAUAAGAGGUAGAUGCCAGCUCUAGUCUGACUUAGAAGUCCAUUGUAGUACAGAUUGAAUAUCCCUUUUCCAAUAUGCUUGGGAACAGAGCAUUCAAGAUCUUUGUAAAUUGUGGAAUAUUUGCAUAUAUUGCAUAAUGAAAUAUUCUGGGAAUGAGACCUACACAUAAACAUGAGGUUCAUUUAUAUUUCAUAUAUACCUUAUAUACAUAUGCCAAAGGUAAUUUUAUUCAUUUUUAAUAUUAUUGUGCCUGAAAGAAAGUUUUACAGUGUAGAGUUUUUCACUUGUAGUACUAUAUCAGCACUCAAAAAGUACUAUAUCAGCACUCAAAAAGUGAAUUUGGAACAUUUCAGAGUUUGGAAUUUUGAACUGAGGAUGUCCAACAUAUAUUACAAGUUGUAAUUCUGACUCCUAGAUUAUUUACUGUAUAUGAAUAUGCACAAAGGCCAUAUACUGGCAAGCACAAGGUCCUGAGUUUGAUUCCCAGUACCAAAAACAACCAAAAAGACCAUAUAAUGUAAUGCUAUUAUACACACAGUAUAUAUAUUGACACUCUUAUUUUAUGUAUAGAUAUUUACAAAUUUUAUGGAACAUUUCAAAUUUUUAUUUUGGCCAUUUUUGGAAAUCAACCUUUCUUUUUAUACUUUCAGAUUUUUCUGAUAUCUGGUUAUAUUAAAGAACUUUAACUUUUCUUAUAGUUCACAUCUACUAAUAAAUUCUCUCAGCUUAAAAUCCAAAAAGGUCUUCAUUUCUGAGAAACAUUUCCUAUUAGUGGAGAUUCUAGGAUAGUAGUUUGCAUUUUGUUUUCCUUUUAGAAAUUUAAUCAUUCCAUUGUUUUCUACCUUGCGUGAUUUCUAACAAGAAUAUAACAUGUUUUUUUAAAGCUCUUUGGCUGACUUCAAUAUGAUCUUUGUAUCUUUGAUUUCUUUAAACAGUUUGAAAAUAGGUGCAAGGAUGUGUGUUAUUUAUCUUUCUUGGGAUUCGCUAACUCCUUACAUCAGUAAUUCCUUUCCUAUUUUUUGGAAAAUUUUCAGUUAUUAUUUCGUCCAGUACUUCCUCUUCUGUAUUCUUUUUCUUGGGGUCCAAUUAGAAAUACAUUAGAUCAUGUGACACUGUCCUACAGUUCUUGGAUGCUCUACUUCGAUUUUUAAAAUUCCACUCUUUUUGUGUUUCACUUAGAGUAUUUGUUUGAACUUUUAUUGAGUUCACUGAUUCUUUCCUUGGCUGUGUUUAGUUUAACAAUAAGCCUGAGAAAGGCAUUCUUUAUCUCUGUUACCAGGUUUAUUUUUAUUAUUAUUUUUUAAAUUUAUAGCAUUUCCUGACAUCUUUCUUAUCAUUUCUAUCUCUGUUAGCACUUGAGGAUUUAGGUUUCAGGCAUAAUUUUCCAUGAACUUUGGUUUCCUGUUCUAUAAAAUAGGAUGGAUAAAGUAAAUAUAUUCCCUUUGCAUGAGUCCUUUCUCCUUUCCUGAGUCUCAGUCAUUCCUAUUCAAUGUUUGGACUGCAUGAUUAUUUUCAUUCUUUUUAGUUCCUAAAUUGUAUGAUUCUUCGAAGGCAAAAAGAUCUGAUGUUUAUUGACAGCAUGAAUUAAUCUCACAUACAAUCUGACAGGCAUAAAAUCGCAUUUAAGAAGUACUUAUGAAAAUGUUUUACUUUUUGCUAGAUCUAUGUGGAACUUUAAUUAGAAGAAACAACAUUAAAUCCAGUUGCUACUUGGUUACAUUUGUUAAAAAAUCAUUACAGUUUUUCAACUGUUGGGUUUCUCAAUUCACUUGUGAAAUUUUAUGGCUCAUAAUACAUCUCACUCACUCUCUUUGCAUUUAUAAGAUUUUGAGUUAUUGGCUGGUUCCCACAUUUUGUAAUGUGAGGGAACAUUAGAGGAGGUGAUUGCUUUUCACUGACCAGGGUGAAGAUAUAAUAGUUUCGUUGGAGUUGGCUUUGGAGUCACAAACUUGGUUCCAAAUCUUUGUUACCCAAAUGUAAAACUUUAGGCUGAUUAUUUAAUUUUUGAGCCUGAGUUUCUUUAUCUGUGAAAAAGUGGUGAUGUAAGUAUCACCUCUUUUGAAUGCAAAAGACAGUAGGUAUAAAACUAUGGGUCUAGGGCCUAGUUAAUGGCAUCUGACCAUUGGCAGGAUGAAAAAUGAUAGCUAAAAUGAAAUAUAUCAUCAUUAAGUAAUUUUUAACAAGUCUAAAGGGAAGGGAAGGGAUUUUUAAAAAAUUCCUUUUCAUGGAAAGGGCCACCUGAUAAAAGGGUAUUUUAGCAAUAGGGAAAAGAUUUACUGAAAAGAGAAUAUUGAUAAGCAAUAAUAACUGGAUUAAGGGUUUACUAAGUGACUGAUGCUCAUAUGUUAUCCAUAGGCAACCUAUGAAGUGAGCCACUCCCCCCGCCUCCACUACCAGGGAGCCUUUGUUGGACUGAGGGUGGCCACACUAUCUUUUUGGUGUUACAUUCUACUUUGGAUUCUGAUACUUUUGUAUGUAUAACCCCUACCACCUUCCCACUUUCUCAUCUACAGUGAGAGAUUCUCUAUGUAUUUGGCACAGAAGUGGCCCACGGCAAGUUGUGUUGAAUUCUUUAAAAGCUGACUGUAUUUUAAUUCCCAGGACUGAAAUUCUUCUUUAUAUUAUGGAUGAAAUUUUAAGCAUUAACAAACAGCAUAGAUUAAAAAAAAAAAAAACACUAACAAAAUAGUUACAGUUAAAGAAACUACUCAGCCAACCUGAGGCUUGCUUCUCCUGCCAUUUUUAUUCUUUGUUAAGAUAAAGUAUUUUAAAGUUGCAGUUGCUUUAAUAAAUUACCACAGAGUAAAUAUAAUGAUUUUUGAAGAGGUAUACAGAUUCUGUGUUUGUGAGUAAUUUUACUAUAAUGGGCAUUAUUCAGCAUUGAAAUUAUCUAAUACAAAGAAACAUUCUUUAUUCUCACUGUGAGCUACUGUCUUCUAAAAUGCAGACUGUAAUUCACAUGUUCUCAUUUGAAUAACACAAGCAAUAAUGUCAAAUUAUUUUGCAGUUGUUUUGCUUAUCUUUACAAAAGUGCAUUCCUGAUCAUAGAUUUUUAGAAUUGGAGAAACCUAAGCUCCAGUCUAAUUCCUUCCAGAGAAAUAAAGUGACUUACUUAGCCAUGUAGCUAGCUGACUAAUGACAGGACCAAGGAGAGAACAGUCCUUUAUCCAUCGUGCUACAGCGCUGCUCUGCAUUCCUCUGGUGGGGGAAAAAACCUGCCCACUCAUUCUUGGUUUUUAAUGCUAUCAUCAUGGGACUAGGUUUUUUCCAUGACUAACUAGUGCUCUUUUGUUUUAUUGUGUGGGUGUCUGGGAACAAGCUGAGUAUUUUUGUUUUAACAAUUGAACAUACAAGGAAAUAACAAGGCAUUUGUCUGGUUAACACUUUAGCAGUCAGGAGGGAGUGGUGUAACUCAGUUCUCUGCCCUCCAUGUUGAUUGUCAACUGUUUCAAAGUUGAGUUUCUUAACCUGGAGUCUGAAUUCCCUAAACUUUUUGAAAAUGAUGUAAUAUAUGUUUAUAUUAUAAGGAAGGAAUCUGUAGCUUUCAUCAGGUUAUCACAGGACAUAUAGUAUGAAACUGCUGUUUAAGAAGAAGGUAGAAUUAAGCCUGAUUGUACUCUAAGUAUAGUACUAAUUUUACCAGAGGACUCACUAUCUCCAGCUUCCUUCUGGUGGUACCGUUUCCUAAAGCUUUCCAGACAGCUUCCUGGAUCUUGUCAUGGAAACCACUAGAGGUCUCAAACUUCCAAUUGCAGGAAAGUUUUCCCUAGUGUGUCCUGUUUCUAGGAGAGGGUGUAAGACCCAAGGAUAUUUUGUUCUUUAGAAAACCCAAUUUAAGGAUAAUUUGUUUAGUUACAUUUUAAUUGAAAAGCUAUACGAGCUGAACUGAUAAACUAAGUCUAUUGCAAGUAAGAAAAAGAGGAGUUGGAAUUUCAGUCAGUACUUUGCAAAUUAACUUCUAGAAACUUUCUAGUUCAUCUGUGUUUUAUCUAGAAGCUCUUUUAUUAUAUAUAUUUUCUCUUUUUUUUUGUCUUUUUCAUUUUUAUGGGUACCGGGGAUCGAACUCACGACCGCCUGCUUUGCAAGGCAGGUGCUUAUGCCGCUGAGCUAAACCCCCACCCCCUUGUUGUAUAUAUUUUCUAGGAGCAGAGUGAAAAUCCAUAGAUGGUAGUUUAGGAAUUGCUCAGCUAGUUCAGAAAAACUGAAUAUUCCUUUCUUGAAUUUUAUUUGAAUUAGAAGAACCUACAGCUGCUAGAAAUUCAUUUUGAUAGGCUUCCUUUCCAGAAGAAGAAAGCAUGUUCUAUAAAGGGGAAAAAGUGUGUGUGUGUGUGUGUGUGUGUAAUUUUAAACCUACCAUCUGGAUACACAAAGACAAGAUCAGAGGAGUUUGUUUAUUUGUAAAUUUGUUCAUUUUAAAAAGUCCUGAGUGAGAACACAUCAUAACCCUUAGGUGUGUAGUAGAUGUUGAGAAAUGAAAAUGAUAACUUGCUGUCUUCUGGGGACACAGGGUGACUGCUGAGAAUAGCAAUUCAGCAUGUUUGAUACUGUAGUGGAAAUAUCCGAAGACCACUGAUCUCAGUACUUCGCCUGGCCAGGAAGAAGUGGGGAGUGGAGUCAAAGGGUGCUGGCCAAGGAAGUAAGAUGAACUUCACCUCAAAGGUGACAGUAUUAAGGGUCUAUAGAAACCUGCCUGACAAAGAAGGGACAUAAAUAUGACUGGUAUAUGUGUGCCUUUCUAAUUUUAACAGGACGUGACAUUUACUGUGCUCUCUGGUUUUUGCAAUUUA
Cavia porcellus (domestic guinea pig) is the source of this 12539-nucleotide long non-coding RNA. RefSeq lists it as uncharacterized. The record is from RefSeq and is a predicted model, not a curated record. The transcript has 2 exons. Lineage: Eukaryota; Metazoa; Chordata; Mammalia; Rodentia; Caviidae.